UUGACCUCAAAUCAGGUAGGACUACCCGCUGAACUUAAGCAUAUCAAUAAGCGGAGGAAAAGAAACUAACAAGGAUUCCCCUAGUAACUGCGAGUGAAGCGGGAAAAGCUCAAAUUUAAAAUCUGGCAGGUGUUUGUCUGUCCGAGUUGUAACCUAGAGAAGUGUAACCUGUGCUGGACG
RNAcentral lists this ribosomal RNA (180 nucleotides) under Amanita sp. 'helmettensis'. RNAcentral describes it as "partial 28S ribosomal RNA". It matches the Rfam family "Eukaryotic large subunit ribosomal RNA", at positions 1 to 176 of the family's 3401-position model. Lineage: Eukaryota; Fungi; Basidiomycota; Agaricomycetes; Agaricales; Amanitaceae. The record is from RNAcentral.